UACGAAGGGGGCUAGCGUUGCUCGGAAUCACUGGGCGUAAAGGGUGCGUAGGCGGGUUUUUAAGUCAGAGGUGAAAUCCUGGAGCUCAACUCCAGAACUGCCUUUGAUACUGAAAGUCUUGAGUAUGGGAGAGGUGAGUGGAACUGCGAGUGUAGAGGUGAAAUUCGUAGAUAUUCGCAAGAACACCAGUGGCGAAGGCGGCUCACUGGCCCGAUACUGACGCUGAGGUGCGAAAGCGUGGGGAGCAAACAGG
This 253-nucleotide ribosomal RNA is filed under the name uncultured bacterium. RNAcentral's name for it is "partial 16S ribosomal RNA". It matches the Rfam family "Bacterial small subunit ribosomal RNA", at positions 524 to 776 of the family's 1533-position model. The record is from RNAcentral.